Molecule: unclassified non-coding RNA, 349 nt
Filed under: soil metagenome
Description: partial contains 5.8S ribosomal RNA, internal transcribed spacer 2, and large subunit ribosomal RNA
Rfam family: 5.8S ribosomal RNA (bases 1-120)
Source: RNAcentral
GAUGAAGAACGCAGCGAAAUGCGAUAAUUAAUGUGAAUUGCAGAAUUUAGUGAAUCAUCGAAUCUUUGAACGCACAUUGCGCCCCCUGGUAUUCCGGGGGGCAUGCCUGUCCGAGCGUCAUUGCUGCCCUCAAGCACGGCUUGUGUGUUGGGCCUCCGCCCCCCGGCUCCCGGGGGGCGGGCCCGAAAGGCAGCGGCGGCACCGCGUCCGGUCCUCGAGCGUAUGGGGCUUCGUCACCCGCUCCGUAGGCCCGGCCGGCGCCCGCCGGCGACCCCCCUCAAUCUUUCCAGGUUGACCUCGGAUCAGGUAGGGAUACCCGCUGAACUUAAGCAUAUCAAUAAGCGGAGGA